This 304-nucleotide ribosomal RNA is filed under the name uncultured bacterium. RNAcentral describes it as "partial 16S ribosomal RNA". It matches the Rfam family "Bacterial small subunit ribosomal RNA", at positions 506 to 807 of the family's 1533-position model. The record is from RNAcentral.
CAGCAGUAGCCGCGGGAAUACAGAGGGUGCGAGCGUUAAUCGGAUUUACUGGGCGUAAAGCGUGCGUAGGCGGCUUUUUAAGUCGGAUGUGAAAUCCCUGAGCUUAACUUAGGAAUUGCAUUCGAUACUGGGAAGCUAGAGUAUGGGAGAGGAUGGUAGAAUUCCAGGUGUAGCGGUGAAAUGCGUAGAGAUCUGGAGGAAUACCGAUGGCGAAGGCAGCCAUCUGGCCUAAUACUGACGCUGAGGUACGAAAGCAUGGGGAGCAAACAGGAUUAGAUACCCGUGUAGUCCCUGUCUCUUAUAC